GACGAACGCUGGCGGCGCGCCUAACACAUGCAAGUCGAACGAGCGAGAGGAGGUUUCCUUUCUCAAGCGAGUGGCGAACGGGUGAGUAACGCGUGAGGAACCUGCCUCAAAGAGGGGGACAACAGUUGGAAACGACUGCUAAUACCGCAUAAGCCCACGACCCGGCAUCGGGUAGAGGGAAAAGGAGCAAUCCGCUUUGAGAUGGCCUCGCGUCCGAUUAGCUAGUUGGUGAGGUAAUGGCCCACCAAGGCGACGAUCGGUAGCCGGACUGAGAGGUUGAACGGCCACAUUGGGACUGAGACACGGCCCAGACUCCUACGGGAGGCAGCAGUGGGGAAUAUUGCACAAUGGGGGAAACCCUGAUGCAGCGACGCCGCGUGGAGGAAGAAGGUCUUCGGAUUGUAAACUCCUGUUGUUGAGGAAGAUAAUGACGGCACUCAACAAGGAAGUGACGGCUAACUACGUG
RNAcentral lists this ribosomal RNA (466 nucleotides) under uncultured bacterium. Its description in RNAcentral is "partial 16S ribosomal RNA". It matches the Rfam family "Bacterial small subunit ribosomal RNA", at positions 28 to 507 of the family's 1533-position model. The record is from RNAcentral.